CCUACGGGUGGCAGCAGUGGGGAAUAUUGCACAAUGGGCGCAAGCCUGAUGCAGCCAUGCCGCGUGUGUGAAGAAGGCCUUCGGGUUGUAAAGCACUUUCAGCGGGGAGGAAGGCGGUGAGGUUAAUAACCUCAUCGAUUGACGUUACCCGCAGAAGAAGCACCGGCUAACUCCGUGCCAGCAGCCGCGGUAAUACGGAGGGUGCAGGCGUUAAUCGGAAUUACUGGGCGUAAAGCGCACGCAGGCGGUCUGUCAAGUCGGAUGUGAAAUCCCCGGGCUCAACCUGGGAACUGCAUUCGAAACUGGCAGGCUAGAGUCUUGUAGAGGGGGGUAGAAUUCCAGGUGUAGCGGUGAAAUGCGUAGAGAUCUGGAGGAAUACCGGUGGCGAAGGCGGCCCCCUGGACAAAGACUGACGCUCAGGUGCGAAAGCGUGGGGAGCAAACAGGAUUAGAUACCCCGGUAGUC
This 465-nucleotide ribosomal RNA is filed under the name uncultured Klebsiella sp. Its description in RNAcentral is "bacterial SSU rRNA". It matches the Rfam family "Bacterial small subunit ribosomal RNA", at positions 338 to 795 of the family's 1533-position model. The record is from RNAcentral. Lineage: Bacteria; Pseudomonadati; Pseudomonadota; Gammaproteobacteria; Enterobacterales; Enterobacteriaceae.